CGUGUAGGCGGUCAAGUAAGUGGAAUGUGAAAUGCCCCGGCUCACCCGGGGAUCUGCAUCCCAAACUGCUUGGCUCGAGUAUGGGAGAGGAUGAGGGAAUUCCUGGUGUAGCGGUGAAAUGCGUAGAUAUCAGGAGGAACACCGGUGGCGAAAGCGCUCAUCUGGCCCAAUACUGACGCUGAGGCGCGAAAGCUAGGGAGCAAACG
RNAcentral lists this ribosomal RNA (206 nucleotides) under uncultured bacterium. RNAcentral's name for it is "partial 16S ribosomal RNA". It matches the Rfam family "Bacterial small subunit ribosomal RNA", at positions 568 to 774 of the family's 1533-position model. The record is from RNAcentral.